Gasterosteus aculeatus aculeatus (three-spined stickleback) is the source of this 2948-nucleotide long non-coding RNA. The record is from Ensembl. Lineage: Eukaryota; Metazoa; Chordata; Actinopteri; Perciformes; Gasterosteidae.
AAGGAGAAGUUAGACAUAUAAAGCGCAAUGCUCAGAAAGUACAAAAAAAAACUACUCUUCAGUCAGGUAAGAUGUAGAGCGGCCGGGAUUUAACUUCUACUGAGACGGAGAAAUAAUCCGGUGACGAGUGGAGAGGAAACCGGGGCCCUUAAGCAGUGCUGAUUGCCAGCAGGUGAGAUGCUUAUAUCAGCGCCUUUAGCGUCCUCUCGGCGUGCUCUUCUGUGUGCUGCUUUCUUCGUUCGCUCAUUGUUUUGCUGAGAAAUGUUACAAAGUGACCGCUGUGUGCACAUUUUCUGGACUUUUGCAUAUCAUUUUUUAUAACUUGUUGGAGUUGUUUGGAGUAUAUAACAGGUUGGUGCAUAUCGUAGCCAAGAGUCCAGGACUGUGAUGUGAAGCAUUCCUAUAUUUGUUCGUGAUGAGUACAGGAUAUUCCCGUUGGAAGUUGGUUCUGCUGUUUUGUACCUCAGAUGGGAACCCUCGGGUGCAACAUGUUUGUGAACAUCCUUUGCAAUUUCCUUGCUUAUGGUUGGCAACAAAUUAGUUAGACACAAUGACUGUUGUCUCUCAGAUCGGAUCCCUUCAUUUGUUUCUUUCUAAUGGUAAUUGGAGUAGUUUAAACUAUUUAACUCACAUUUGUGGAUGUUGGACCACAGCAGUACGAUAAUCUACAGACGACAAGAUCCUAGUGGUUACAUCACAGGUUCAUCUCAGCUCGGCUCCUUCAAUAAAGAGCAAUGAAAAACAAAGAAAAUGUCCUCAAUGCGGCUCGGCAGCUUGUCUGCCAGAUGAGACCGAACUGUUUUGGCUGCACAAAACCGCAGAUGAAUUGUCCUUUUUUCUUCCUUGUAAUGAGCGUGCGGCCCAAUAGAGUUUAUCUGGUAGACGCCAUGAAACAGUAUCUUUUAGUGCUGCUUCUCAAUAUUUCACUUGGUCGGCACCCACUUCUCCCUCCCGCCAUUACUGGCCAUCCGGGACGAGGUACCUGCCCACACAAAUGGGACAUUUACCGUCACACAUUUGUACGGCAGCUGCCCUGCUUGCUGGCAAAGAGGUGAUUUUCCUCCGUCCGUGAGAAAACUACAAGUCCAGCACUUUCUUAAGUACUCUUCAUAUUUACCAGAAUUGAAUGCCAGGUCGUGACGGUUGAGUCACAUCACUUAAAUUUGACUCGCACGUUUGUUGGCUUUGACGGUCAAAAUCUCCCAUGACUGCAAAGACAAUAACAGGCCCGAGGGUUUGGUGCGUGAGGCACUCGGACCGUAUUGUACCAGUACGGCGCGUUCGUCAGGGGGGAUUCUUGGCCGAUGAUGCUUGAAGCUGGAAAUGGCCUGGCGGGAGCCCAGGCUCUACAUACGGAGAGCUGCUGAGUGGACAUUUUAGCAGUGCUGUGAAAAUCAUUAGAUGAUUGCCUCCGAGGCUUUGUGAGAAGGGUGAGACUUGUUGUGUUCAAUGUUUCGCCUGCAAGCGCCUGAUGAUGAGGUGUUUGAUCCACAACAAAAUCCUUAGAACUUAUUAUAAGCUGUCCUCUCCAUAAAUCCCAACGGAUAUGAUGCUAUGGUCUCAGAUGAGAGAAGCCUUAAGGGGACCUACAGCAUGUAAAUUAAAUUGCAGCGUUACUUUCCCAUAAAAGAGUUUCCUGUCUGCAAAUGUGCCAUUUCACCUGUUAGCUCUGCCGCGAUGUGGGGAUUUGCUUCAGUCAAACAGCAUGUUGUUCACCUCAGGCUCUCCAUUGAAAAAAUGUCUCUCACAGAAAAGCAUUUGAGCAUCACAUCAUCAUCAUCAUCAUCAUCCCAUUGGAUUAAUGGCAAUCUAUUUGCAUGCAAUCCUAUUCCACCUGGAAGUAACUCCAAAUGUGUGCUUGGGAGUGUUUUCUCCAAAUGCAAAGAAGUGUGUGUCUGUGUGUGUGUGUGUGUGUGUGUGUGUGUGUGUAGCAUGUUGGUCUGUGGGUGUGAAUACGUGUAGAGCAGUGCACGUGUCGGAAGUACUUGGUGGAACAAAUGGAGCUGACACAAUUUUGACUUUAUCAUAAGAACAAAUCUGGUAAAUUAUAGUGUUCCAGAAGUCUUUGUUCUUUGUUUGAUAUCUAACCUUAGGCGGAUGCGGAACUCAAAGUUACAACAAUAAUCCGUUUGGAUCUUUGUUGUGACUCAGUUACAUUCAGCUCUGCUGCUUAUAUUUGGCUUCAGUGAAAUUUAAACGGGGUGGAAAAAACAAGUUUGAAGACCUUUGUGAAUUGAUGGGUAAAUGAUCAUCAUCUCUUGCUGUAUCUUAAUCAAUGUUGUCCCGCAAACUAAAUUUAAACUUUGCGCAGGGCCUUCUGAAUGUCAUGAUUGGCAGUCCUAAAUGAGAACCUAUUGAGUUUGUGUCGAGUGAUGAUGAGUCAGCGAGUCGGCCGAUGGCUCUCGUUUUCUAAGAACAUCCCUUGAAAAAACCCAGUAAAUGCUUGACUUGGCUGGUAGUGCUGCAGGAAGCCAAACAAACUUGUCAAACAAGUGUAACAGCUGCUCCUCCAUAAGCAGGCAGAGAGGUAAAUACAGCUGAGCAAUGACCUGCUGAAGAUGACUAUUCAAAUAGAUUUUUCUUCAGAGAAGAUGGGAGACACAUAGUCUUUCGUCAAGUCCAGGUACACUGUGUUCUCCUUCUUAUUUGUCUUGGCUCAGGAGAAUUUGUUAUUUUUAGAUGCUAAAACCCGUCAAGGGUUUUCUGGUCUUGGGAAAAUGUCUCGUAUAUUCAAAAGGAACGCAUACAGGCAGUCUUUCCUGUAAAGAAAACCCUUGUAGAAGAUAGUGGUGCAUUUUUUUCCAUGGAAAGAGAUUCAAAUUCUCGGUUAGUUGCUUAGUCGUGACAUUUGACAUUUCGAGGGGUUUUUGAAAGCAGCACGAGGUUUCUGAUGAUAUGAAAUGGAUGUCACUGAGGUCACACUGGCCCCCUAGAGUAGAUAGAAAAAA